AGGGUGUGUGAGCCCAGCAGCCGCUGGAGGAGACAGGCAAAGCAAUGCUUCUCGGAGCUCCUCCAGUCUUCCCUGUGACCCCUGACUCCUGCCCUUCCAUAGCCCUUGACCUGCUGGACCGGAUGUUAACCUUUAACCCCAAUAAACGGAUCACAGUGGAGGAAGCGCUGGCUCACCCCUACCUGGAGCAGUACUAUGACCCGACGGAUGAGCCAGUGGCCGAGGAGCCCUUCACCUUCGCCAUGGAGCUGGAUGACCUACCUAAGGAGCGGCUGAAGGAGCUCAUCUUCCAGGAGACAGCACGCUUCCAGCCCGGAGUGCUGGAGGCCCCCUAGCCCAGACAGACAUCUCUGCACCCUGGGGCCUGG
RNAcentral lists this small RNA (368 nucleotides) under Pan troglodytes (chimpanzee). RNAcentral's name for it is "retained intron". The record is from RNAcentral. Lineage: Eukaryota; Metazoa; Chordata; Mammalia; Primates; Hominidae.